GAGAAUUGUCCUUCGGGAUCAACUCUCCCACCCUCUGUUUACCAUACUCUGUUGCUUCGGCAGGCCCGUCUCCGGACCGCCGGCCCCUCUCAAGGGCUGGCCAGCGCCUGUCAGAGGACCUACCAAACUCGUUUUGUUAGUGUAGUCUGAGCUUAAUUUUUAAUAAUUAAAACUUUCAACAACGGAUCUCUUGGUUCUGGCAUCGAUGAAGAACGCAGCGAAAUGCGAUAAGUAAUGUGAAUUGCAGAAUUCAGUGAAUCAUCGAAUCUUUGAACGCACAUUGCACCCCCUGGUAUUCCGGGGGGUAUGCCUGUUCGAGCGUCAUUAAACCCCUCAAGCUCAGCUUGGUAUUGGGACGCGCCUGCCCGGCGCCCCCUAAAAUCAGUGGCGGCUCAGCCUAGACUUCAAGCGUAGUAACACAUCUCGCUGGGGAGUAGGGGCUGGAGGCCUGCCAGAAGCCUAAACUUUUCAAGUUUGACCUCGGAUCAGGUAGGGAUACCCGCUGAACUUAAGCAUAUCAAUAAGCGGAGGAAAAGAAACCAACAGGGAUUGCCUCAGUAACGGCGAGUGAAGCGGCAACAGCUCAAAUUUGAAAUCUGGCUCCGGCCCGAGUUGUAAUUUGUAGAGGAUGCUUAGGGUCUGGCUCCGGUCUAAGUUCCUUGGAACAGGACGUCAUAGAGGGUGAGAAUCCCGUAUGCGACCGGCUGCCUCCGCCCGUGUUAAGCUCCUUCGACGAGUCGAGUUGUUUGGGAAUGCAGCUCUAAAUGGGUGGUAAAUUUCAUCUAAAGCUAAAUACUGGCCAGAGACCGAUAGCGCACAAGUAGAGUGAUCGAAAGAUGAAAAGCACUUUGGAAAGAGAGUUAAAUAGUACGUGAAAUUGUUGAAAGGGAAGCGCUUGCAACCAGACUUGCGCGCGGCUGAUCAUCCGGUGUUCUCACCGGUGCACUCGGCCGCGCUCAGGCCAGCAUCAGUUCUGGCGGUUGGAUAAAGGCCCGGGGAAUGUAGCUUCCUUCGGGGAGUGUUAUAGCCUCGGGUGCAAUGCAGCCUGCCGGGACUGAGGACCGC
This 1065-nucleotide ribosomal RNA is filed under the name fungal endophyte. RNAcentral describes it as "eukaryotic LSU rRNA". The stretch from base 476 to 1065 matches the Rfam family "Eukaryotic large subunit ribosomal RNA", at positions 1 to 599 of the family's 3401-position model. The record is from RNAcentral. Lineage: Eukaryota; Fungi.